AACGGUCUAUACCUGCGGUACCUGCGGAAGGAUCAUUAUUGAAAUCCUUAGGAUGUUGCUGGCCCUCUGGGCAUGUGCACUCCGCCUUUUCAAUUCACCUGUGCACUCAUUGUAGGCCAGACUUGACAAAAGUCUGUGUCUAUGUUUUUAUAACACGCCAAAAGUUUAAUAGAAUGUCUUUAUGAGACCUUUGAUGGUCGAUAUAAAAUUAAUACAACUUUCAACAAUGGAUCUCUAGAU
This 240-nucleotide unclassified non-coding RNA is filed under the name soil metagenome. Its description in RNAcentral is "partial contains 5.8S ribosomal RNA, internal transcribed spacer 2, and large subunit ribosomal RNA". The record is from RNAcentral.